CAGUCGCCGCGGUAAUACGAGGGGUGCAAGCGUUAUUCGGAUUGAUUGGGUGUAAAGGGUGUGCAGACGGCUUAUUAAGUCACUUGUUAAAUUCUUCGGCCUAACUGAAGGUCUGCAAGUGAUACUGAUGAGCUAGAGGGUGGAAGAGAGAAGUGGAAUUCCCGGAGUAGCGGUAAAAUGCGUAGGUCUCGAGAGGAACACCAAUGGCGAAGGCAGCUUCUUGGUCCAUUCCUGACGUUCAUACACGAAAGCGUGGGGAGCAAACAGGAUUAGAUACCCCCGUAGUCCCUGUCUCUUAUAC
This 301-nucleotide ribosomal RNA is filed under the name uncultured bacterium. RNAcentral describes it as "partial 16S ribosomal RNA". It matches the Rfam family "Bacterial small subunit ribosomal RNA", at positions 509 to 807 of the family's 1533-position model. The record is from RNAcentral.